This 366-nucleotide ribosomal RNA is filed under the name uncultured organism. RNAcentral describes it as "bacterial SSU rRNA". It matches the Rfam family "Bacterial small subunit ribosomal RNA", at positions 526 to 896 of the family's 1533-position model. The record is from RNAcentral.
CGGAGGAUCCAAGCGUUAUCCGGAAUCAUUGGGUUUAAAGGGUCCGUAGGCGGUUUGAUAAGUCAGUGGUGAAAGCCCAUCGCUCAACGAUGGAACGGCCAUUGAUACUGUCAGACUUGAAUUAUUGGGAAGUAACUAGAAUAUGUAGUGUAGCGGUGAAAUGCUUAGAUAUUACAUGGAAUACCAAUUGCGAAGGCAGGUUACUAUCAAUAUAUUGACGCUGAUGGACGAAAGCGUGGGGAGCGAACAGGAUUAGAUACCCUGGUAGUCCACGCCGUAAACGAUGGAUACUAGCUGUUCGGAGCAAUCUGAGUGGCUAAGCGAAAGUGAUAAGUAUCCCACCUGGGGAGUACGUUCGCAAGAAUG